RNAcentral lists this microRNA precursor (98 nucleotides) under Otolemur garnettii (small-eared galago). RNAcentral's name for it is "miRNA (ENSOGAG00000024928.1)". The record is from RNAcentral. Lineage: Eukaryota; Metazoa; Chordata; Mammalia; Primates; Galagidae.
CACAUAUUUACUCUUUAUGUAUAUAUAUAUAUGUGUGUGUGUGUGUGUGUGUAUACAUAUACAUCCACAUCUAUAUCCAUAUAUAAGUAAGAUUUAUA